GAGUACGUGAAACCGCUUAGAGGCAAACGGGUGGAACCGCAGAGUCGACCCGGGGGAUUCAACCUGCCGUCCGGGACGCGCUGGGGCGUCGGAGCCGCAAGGCCCGCACCUCGGCGUCCGGUCUCCGGUCGGCCUGGUGCACUUUCCUCGGGUCGAAAGCCACGACCGGCUCCCCGGCGGCCACAAGCCUGGCUGGGAAGGUGCCUUUCGGCUCGUCCGGAAGAGUUAUAGCCCAGCCUGUCGCAGGCUCGUCGGAGGGCCGAGGACGUUAGCCGCGUCUCACCGCCUCCGGGCCAUCUGCGCUCGUUUCGACUGGGGUGGACUGCUCGUCAGUGCUCUCCCGACCGCGAGCGUCGGAAGGGCUCGGCAGGCGCGAGGCGCUUCGGGCCGGUGGCGAAUCGGUCGGUCUUCCUCCCGACCCGUCUUGAAACACGGACCAAG
Molecule: ribosomal RNA, 441 nt
Filed under: Castalia sp. MOH-2016
Lineage: Eukaryota; Metazoa; Mollusca; Bivalvia; Unionida; Hyriidae
Description: eukaryotic LSU rRNA
Source: RNAcentral